RNAcentral lists this ribosomal RNA (284 nucleotides) under Salmonella enterica. RNAcentral describes it as "partial 23S ribosomal RNA". It matches the Rfam family "Bacterial large subunit ribosomal RNA", at positions 1 to 285 of the family's 2925-position model. Lineage: Bacteria; Pseudomonadati; Pseudomonadota; Gammaproteobacteria; Enterobacterales; Enterobacteriaceae. The record is from RNAcentral. RNAcentral also lists the same sequence under 2 other names.
GGUUAAGCGACUAAGCGUACACGGUGGAUGCCCUGGCAGUCAGAGGCGAUGAAGGGCGUGCUAAUCUGCGAUAAGCGCCGGUAAGGUGAUAUGAACCGUUAUAACCGGCGAUACCCGAAUGGGGAAACCCAGUGUGAUUCGUCACACUAUCAUUAACUGAAUCCAUAGGUUAAUGAGGCGAACCGGGGGAACUGAAACAUCUAAGUACCCCGAGGAAAAGAAAUCAACCGAGAUUCCCCCAGUAGCGGCGAGCGAACGGGGAGGAGCCCAGAGCCUGAAUCAGC